RNAcentral lists this ribosomal RNA (954 nucleotides) under Salmonella enterica subsp. enterica. RNAcentral describes it as "partial 23S ribosomal RNA". It matches the Rfam family "Bacterial large subunit ribosomal RNA", at positions 1918 to 2866 of the family's 2925-position model. Lineage: Bacteria; Pseudomonadati; Pseudomonadota; Gammaproteobacteria; Enterobacterales; Enterobacteriaceae. RNAcentral also lists the same sequence under 1 other name. The record is from RNAcentral.
CCCCGGUAAACGGCGGCCGUAACUAUAACGGUCCUAAGGUAGCGAAAUUCCUUGUCGGGUAAGUUCCGACCUGCACGAAUGGCGUAAUGAUGGCCAGGCUGUCUCCACCCGAGACUCAGUGAAAUUGAACUCGCUGUGAAGAUGCAGUGUACCCGCGGCAAGACGGAAAGACCCCGUGAACCUUUACUAUAGCUUGACACUGAACAUUGAGCCUUGAUGUGUAGGAUAGGUGGGAGGCUUUGAAGUGUGGACGCCAGUCUGCAUGGAGCCGACCUUGAAAUACCACCCUUUAAUGUUUGAUGUUCUAACGUGGACCCGUAAUCCGGGUUGCGGACAGUGUCUGGUGGGUAGUUUGACUGGGGCGGUCUCCUCCUAAAGAGUAACGGAGGAGCACGAAGGUUGGCUAAUCCUGGUCGGACAUCAGGAGGUUAGUGCAAUGGCAUAAGCCAGCUUGACUGCGAGCGUGACGGCGCGAGCAGGUGCGAAAGCAGGUCAUAGUGAUCCGGUGGUUCUGAAUGGAAGGGCCAUCGCUCAACGGAUAAAAGGUACUCCGGGGAUAACAGGCUGAUACCGCCCAAGAGUUCAUAUCGACGGCGGUGUUUGGCACCUCGAUGUCGGCUCAUCACAUCCUGGGGCUGAAGUAGGUCCCAAGGGUAUGGCUGUUCGCCAUUUAAAGUGGUACGCGAGCUGGGUUUAGAACGUCGUGAGACAGUUCGGUCCCUAUCUGCCGUGGGCGCUGGAGAACUGAGGGGGGCUGCUCCUAGUACGAGAGGACCGGAGUGGACGCAUCACUGGUGUUCGGGUUGUCAUGCCAAUGGCACUGCCCGGUAGCUAAAUGCGGAAGAGAUAAGUGCUGAAAGCAUCUAAGCACGAAACUUGCCCCGAGAUGAGUUCUCCCUGAGACUUAGAGUCUCCUGAAGGAACGUUGAAGACGACGACGUUGAUAGGCCGGGU